This 355-nucleotide ribosomal RNA is filed under the name uncultured bacterium. RNAcentral's name for it is "bacterial SSU rRNA". It matches the Rfam family "Bacterial small subunit ribosomal RNA", at positions 445 to 793 of the family's 1533-position model. The record is from RNAcentral.
CGGGUACGUUAAUAGCGUAUUCGUUUGACGUUAGCGACAGAAGAAAGCACCGGCUAACUCCGUGCCAGCAGCCGCGGUAAUACGGAGGGUGCGAGCGUUAAUCGGAAUUACUGGGCGUAAAGCGCAUGCAGGUGGUUUGUUAAGUCAGAUGUGAAAGACCCGGGGCGUCAACCUCGGAAUAGCAUUUGAAACUAGGCAGACUAGAGUACUGUAGAGGGGGGUAGGAAUUUCAGGUGUAGCGGUGAAAUGCGUAGAGAUCUGAAGGAAUACCGGUGGCGAAGGCGGCCCCCUCGGACAGAUACUGACACUCAGAUGCGAAAGCGUGGGGAGCAAACAGGAUUAGAUACCCUGGUAG